RNAcentral lists this ribosomal RNA (253 nucleotides) under uncultured bacterium. RNAcentral describes it as "partial 16S ribosomal RNA". It matches the Rfam family "Bacterial small subunit ribosomal RNA", at positions 524 to 776 of the family's 1533-position model. The record is from RNAcentral.
GACAGAGGUGCCGAGCGUUAGGCGGAAUCACUGGGCUUAAAGCGUGUGUAGGCGGGUCGUUAAGUGUCUUGUGAAAUCCCACCGCUCAACGGUGGAACCGCUGGGCAUACUGGCGAUCUUGAGCAGUCCAGGGGCGAGCGGAACAAGCGGUGGAGCGGUGAAAUGCGUAGAUAUCGUUUGGAACGCCAACGGUGAAAACAGCAGGCUGGGGAUGUGCUGACGCUGAGACGCGAAAGCGUGGGGAGCGAACAGG